Molecule: transfer RNA, 108 nt
Filed under: Sphaerisporangium rubeum
Lineage: Bacteria; Bacillati; Actinomycetota; Actinomycetes; Streptosporangiales; Streptosporangiaceae
Description: tRNA-OTHER
Source: RNAcentral
GCGGGGAAGUCUGCCUGAUGGCGCAGGCCUCAGCUUCGCCAGGCCGGGAGGAAUGAUCCAUGGAGGCUUCCCAAGCUGACAGCGCGGGUUCGAUUCCCGUCACCCGCU